UGGGGAAUAUUGCACAAUGGGCGCAAGCCUGAUGCAGCCAUGCCGCGUGUAUGAAGAAGGCCUUCGGGUUGUAAAGUACUUUCAGUCGGGAGGAAGGUGUCAAGGUUAAUAACCUUGGCAAUUGACGUUACCGACAGAAGAAGCACCGGCUAACUCCGUGCCAGCAGCCGCGGUAAUACGGAGGGUGCAAGCGUUAAUCGGAAUUACUGGGCGUAAAGCGCACGCAGGCGGUUGAUUGAGUCAGAUGUGAAAUCCCCGGGCUUAACCCGGGAAUUGCAUCUGAGACUGGUCAGCUAGAGUCUUGUAGAGGGGGGUAGAAUUCCAUGUGUGGCGGUGAGAUGCGUAGAGAUGUGGAGGAAUACCGGUGGCGAAGGCGGCCCCCUGGACAAAGACUGACGCUCAGGUGCGAAAGCGUGGGGAGCAAACAGG
RNAcentral lists this ribosomal RNA (429 nucleotides) under Chloroflexota bacterium. Its description in RNAcentral is "Chloroflexi bacterium partial 16S ribosomal RNA". It matches the Rfam family "Bacterial small subunit ribosomal RNA", at positions 355 to 776 of the family's 1533-position model. Lineage: Bacteria; Bacillati; Chloroflexota. The record is from RNAcentral.